RNAcentral lists this ribosomal RNA (492 nucleotides) under uncultured bacterium. RNAcentral's name for it is "partial 16S ribosomal RNA". It matches the Rfam family "Bacterial small subunit ribosomal RNA", at positions 29 to 507 of the family's 1533-position model. The record is from RNAcentral.
AGUGAACGCUGGCGGUAGGCCUAACACAUGCAAGUCGAACGGCAGCACAGUAAGAGCUUGCUCUUACGGGUGGCGAGUGGCGGACGGGUGAGGAAUACAUCGGAAUCUACUUUUUCGUGGGGGAUAACGUAGGGAAACUUACGCUAAUACCGCAUACGACCUACGGGUGAAAGCAGGGGAUCUUCGGACCUUGCGCGAUUGAAUGAGCCGAUGUCGGAUUAGCUAGUUGGCGGGGUAAAGGCCCACCAAGGCGACGAUCCGUAGCUGGUCUGAGAGGAUGAUCAGCCACACUGGAACUGAGACACGAUCCAGACUCCUACGGGAGGCAGCAGUGGGGAAUAUUGGGCAAUGGGCGCAAGCCUGAUCCAGCCAUACCGCGUGGGUGAAGAAGGCCUUCGGGUUGUAAAGCCCUUUUGUUGGGAAAGAAAAGCAGCAGGUUAAUACCCCGCUGUUCUGACGGUACCCAAAGAAUAAGCACCGGCUAACUUCGUG